Molecule: ribosomal RNA, 497 nt
Filed under: uncultured bacterium
Lineage: Bacteria
Description: partial 16S ribosomal RNA
Rfam family: Bacterial small subunit ribosomal RNA
Source: RNAcentral
GAUGAACGCUGGCGGCGUGCCUAAUACAUGCAAGUCGAGCGAACGGACGAGGAUCUUGCUCCUCUGCCGUUAGCGGCGGACGGGUGAGGAACACGUGGAUAACCUACCUAUAAGACUGGGAUCACUUCGGGAAAGCUGAGCCAAUACCCGAUCAUAUAUUGAACCGCAUGGUUCAAUAGUGAAAGACGGAUUUGCUGUCCCUUAUAGAUAGAUCCGCGCCGCAUUAGCUAGUUGGUAAGGUAACGGCUUACCAAGGCAACGAUGCGUAGCCGACCUGAGAGGGUGAUCGGCCACACUGGAACUGAGACACGGUCCAGACUCCUACGGGAGGCAGCAGUAGGGAAUCUUCCGCAAUGGGCGAAAGCCUGACGGAGCAACGCCGCGUGAAUGAUGAAGGUCUUCGGAUCGUAAAACUCUGUUAUUAGGGAAGAACAAAUGUGUAAGUAACUAUGCACGUCUUGACGGUACCUAAUCAGAAAGCCACGGCUAGCUACGUG